This 391-nucleotide long non-coding RNA is filed under the name Mytilus galloprovincialis (Mediterranean mussel). The record is from RNAcentral. Lineage: Eukaryota; Metazoa; Mollusca; Bivalvia; Mytilida; Mytilidae.
UGUGUUUUGUGUCGAUCUGAUGAGUCAAACCUACCUCAACUUUGUUUUAUUUUGUGUUGUUAACCGAUGUCCCCGGUUACGGUAGGAAUAAAUUCUCACAAACUUGUUGUGUGUCGCAGUCUUUUAUACUUGUUGUACGUUUAAAUUGAUUUAUACUUAAAUAUGGCUUUGUUUUCUUGUUUGCCGGGACCCUUUAUUGCUAUUAUACUGUAUGGACUAUGUUUAAUGGUGAAGGCUGUACGGUGGUAUAUAGCUGUUUACGACCCACGCUAUUAAGUUUUAGGCAAAAUAGUUCAUGUCAGAUCUUCUAGUUUAUAUAUUUUCUGAUAGUAAAAGUAGAAUUCAGCCAAUGGUAAUAUAAAAAGUAUCAACCAUAUAUCUGAUUACAAAC